RNAcentral lists this ribosomal RNA (497 nucleotides) under uncultured bacterium. Its description in RNAcentral is "partial 16S ribosomal RNA". It matches the Rfam family "Bacterial small subunit ribosomal RNA", at positions 28 to 507 of the family's 1533-position model. The record is from RNAcentral.
GACGAACGCUGGCGGCGUGCCUAAUACAUGCAAGUAGAACGCUGAAGAGCGGAGCUUGUUCUUCUUGGAUGAGGCGAGAACGGGUGAGUAACGCGUAGGUAACCUGCCUGGCAGCGGGGGAUAACUAUUGGAAACGAUAGCUAAUACCGCAUAAAAUUGAUUAUCGCAUGAUAAUUAAUUGAAAGAUGCAAGUGCAUCACUAACAGAUGGACCUGCGUUGUAUUAGCUAGUUGGUGAGGUAACGGCGCACCAAGGCGAGGAUACAUAGCCGACCUGAGAGGGUGGUCGGCCACACUGGGACGGAGACCCGGCCCAUACGCCUUCGGGAAGGAGCAGUAGGGCAUCUGCAGCAAUGGGGGGGACCCUGACCGAACUACGCGGCGUGAGUGAGGAGGGUCUCCGGAUCGUGAAUCUCUGUUGUCAGGGAGUAACGGGUGUGAGCCUGGAAAGUUCACACUGUGACGGUAUCGUACCAAGAAGGGACGGCUAACUACGUG